ACCAUGUUUCUCUCCCACUUCUCCAAGAUACGUAUGAAAAUGUUGAGCUAAAUUAGGCUUUAUAAAUAAGCUGAUAGGGAAAAGACUUAACUUGUGUUUUUCUCCCUUACAGAUUUUAUGAUAGGGGAAAGCUAAUUUUCAGAUAGCUUAAAAACUACAGGAAAAAAAAACCUUAAAAAAAAUCCAGCUACUCCUGAAUGGAUGUUCCUCACUCAGGUUUUCAACAAUCAUCUGAAACAGAGGAAGCUUCCAGUUCCUUCAGCACUGGAGAACAUCUAAUGGUACCAGCAUGAUGAUUCAGAAACCCUUGAAGAUACAGUCAUAUUUUCAGCAACAGAUGGAUUUAACACUGCAGAUGGAGUGUUAAGAGUGCAGGUAAUAACAAACUCAGCAAUGUACUGUACUGAAAUAUAAUUGGAAAGUAUUAAUCAUAUAUUGGU
RNAcentral lists this long non-coding RNA (440 nucleotides) under Struthio camelus australis. RNAcentral describes it as "lncRNA (ENSSCUG00000003934.1)". Lineage: Eukaryota; Metazoa; Chordata; Aves; Struthioniformes; Struthionidae. The record is from RNAcentral.